RNAcentral lists this ribosomal RNA (773 nucleotides) under uncultured Neocallimastigales. RNAcentral describes it as "partial large subunit ribosomal RNA". It matches the Rfam family "Eukaryotic large subunit ribosomal RNA", at positions 26 to 634 of the family's 3401-position model. The record is from RNAcentral. Lineage: Eukaryota; Fungi; Neocallimastigomycota; Neocallimastigomycetes; Neocallimastigales.
CGUCUAUAUACGUAUAGCAUAUCAAUAAGCGGAGGAAAAGAAACUAACUAGGAUUCCCUCAGUAACGGCGAGUGAAGCGGGAAGAGCUCAAAUUUGAAAUCUUCAAGGUUCUACCUUGACGAAUUGUAGUUUAAAGAAGUGUUUUCUGUUGGAGUUUUGGUAAAAGUUCUUUGGAAUAGGACAUCAUAGAGGGUGAGAAUCCCGUAUUUGACCAUUAUUUCCAACUUUGUGAUACGCUUUCAAAGAGUCGGAUUGUUUGGGAAUGCAGUCCAAAAUGGGUGGUAAAUUUCAUCUAAAGCUAAAUACUGGCGAGAGACCGAUAGCGAACAAGUACCGUGAGGGAAAGAUGAAAAGAACUUUGAAAAGAGAGUUAAACAGUACGUGAAAUUGUCAAAAGGGAAGCGUUUGACACCAGUGUUGUUUUCUCGAAAAUCAAUUAAAAAAGAUUGGAUUUUGUGUUGUAUUGACUUUAUCAGCUUUCUGCACUCUUUUCUUGUCUUUUUUAAUGCACUUUUCGUUUAACAAGUCAACAUCAAUUUCUUUUGUUGUAAAAGGGUCAUUGGAAGGUGGCUUUCUUUUCGGAGAAAGUGUUUAUAGCCUUUGGCUUCUGCAAUCGGAGAGAUUGAGGUCUGCAGCGUAGAUCCUUCGGGGUUAGAUACAUUUGUGCUAAGCUAUAGCCUUGUAUAGACAACUUGUUGACUAUGCUCAGUCAUGUAGCUUACUCACUUAUGCUAUUUUACCUACGCUUAGGAUGUUGACGAUCAGCUGAGCGC